CCUACGGAGGGCAGCAGUGAGGAAUAUUGGUCAAUGGGCGCUAGCCUGAACCAGCCAAGUAGCGUGAAGGAAGACGGCCCUAUGGGUUGUAAACUUCUUUUAUAGGGGAAUAAAGUUCUGUAUGUAUACUGCUUUGCAUGUACCCUAUGAAUAAGGAUCGGCUAACUCCGUGCCAGCAGCCGCGGUAAUACGGAGGAUGCGAGCGUUAUCCGGAUUUAUUGGGUUUAAAGGGAGCGUAGGUGGGUUGUUAAGUCAGUUGUGAAAGUUUGUGGCUCAACCGUAAAAUUGCCGUUGAUACUGGAAGCCUUGAGUACAGUAGAGGUAGGCGGAAUGCGUGGUGUAGCGGUGAAAUGCAUAGAUAUCACGCAGAACUCCGAUUGCGAAGGCAGCAUACCGGGGCAUAACUGACGCUGAAGCACGAAAGCGUGGGUAUCGAACAGGAUUAGAUACCCGAGUAGUC
This 460-nucleotide ribosomal RNA is filed under the name uncultured bacterium. RNAcentral describes it as "partial 16S ribosomal RNA". It matches the Rfam family "Bacterial small subunit ribosomal RNA", at positions 338 to 795 of the family's 1533-position model. The record is from RNAcentral.